This 422-nucleotide ribosomal RNA is filed under the name uncultured bacterium. Its description in RNAcentral is "bacterial SSU rRNA". It matches the Rfam family "Bacterial small subunit ribosomal RNA", at positions 794 to 1230 of the family's 1533-position model. The record is from RNAcentral.
UCCACGCCCUCAACGAUGCGUGCUCGGUGUUGGAAGUUCAAUCAUUUCCAGUGCCUUAGCUUACGCGGUAAGCACGCCGCCUGGGAAGUACGGCCGCAAGGCUAAAACUCAAAGGAAUAGACGGGGACCCACACAAGCGGUGGAGCAUGGGGUUUAAUUCGAUAAUAAGCGAAGAACCUCACCCAGGCUUGACAUCUCGGGAAUCCCGCGGAAACGCGGGAGUGCCGUAAGGAACCCGAAGACAGGCGAUGCACGGUCGUCGUCAGCUCGUGCCUUGAGGUGUACUGUUAAGUCAGCGAACGAGCGCAACCCUCAUCCUUUGUUGCAUUUUCAAAGGAGACUGCCGCCUCCAAGGCGGAGGAAGGUGGGGAUGACGUCAGAUCAGCGUGUCCUUUAUGCCUGGGGCAACACCCAUGCUACAA